This is a non-coding RNA of Camponotus floridanus (Florida carpenter ant), 72 nucleotides long. Lineage: Eukaryota; Metazoa; Arthropoda; Insecta; Hymenoptera; Formicidae. The record is from Rfam.
AGCCGAAUAGCUCAGUGGUAAGAGCAGUUGUCCGGCAAGCGAAAGACUCGGGUUCGCUUCUCGAUUCAGCGA